UUCCUUAAAGUUCAUAUGAACAUUGAUCUUGUAAAUCAAAAGAAUAAAAAGGAAA
RNAcentral lists this transfer RNA (55 nucleotides) under Chortoglyphus arcuatus. Its description in RNAcentral is "tRNA-Thr". Lineage: Eukaryota; Metazoa; Arthropoda; Arachnida; Sarcoptiformes; Chortoglyphidae. The record is from RNAcentral.